UGGUUUGUGGCAUUUUGGCUGGUCCUCCAUAUUGCUCCAAGUCACAGAGAAAGUUAUGGCCAACAAGGAUACCGAGUUAGUUGUCACUAAUCAGAUAGGGAGUUCGGGGAUUGAGAAUGUAGGAGAUAAUGAAGAGAUUCGAAAAUUAAGGUGGCAAAUAAUAGAAAUGCAUCGAGCUUGGGCUAAUGGGUUGCCGCCUCCUCCAGUUCCCACUGAUAAUCUGAAAUAGCUUUCUAGCUUGCCUCCCGUGUCACAUGCACAAUUUUCCAUUUU
RNAcentral lists this long non-coding RNA (273 nucleotides) under Capsicum annuum. RNAcentral's name for it is "long non-coding RNA (CANN_LNC006100)". The record is from RNAcentral. Lineage: Eukaryota; Viridiplantae; Streptophyta; Magnoliopsida; Solanales; Solanaceae.